Pogoniulus pusillus (Red-fronted tinkerbird) is the source of this 1510-nucleotide long non-coding RNA. RefSeq lists it as uncharacterized. The transcript is spliced from 3 exons. Lineage: Eukaryota; Metazoa; Chordata; Aves; Piciformes; Lybiidae. The record is from RefSeq and is a predicted model, not a curated record.
AGUGAAGAUGGCGGCUUUCUUUCUGCCUAGUUAGAGAUUUAUUGCCAAAACGCAACAUAUAGUAAACUGUGCUAAUAAGCUCAACUCUCAUGAUAGGACUGGUUAUAACUCCAACUUUAUGUGAUCAGGUUAGGUAAAAAAAAACUUGCAUGUCCUAUUUUCUAGUCUGGAGUGCUUCUUUUUUUUUAAGAGAAAAAGAAUGAUGACUUGUAGCCCUCAUCUGGUGGGUAAUUAGCUUGUGUUUCACAUUUUUCAGUCCUUAUACUGGGAUCACACACUUCCACUCCUGGAGAAAUGCUAGAGAUCUAGGAGGUGGUACCCUACGCUCUGCUUCCUGCGCAGUGGCUCCAUUGGAGCAGCCAAUUUGUGAACUGGAUACUGACAAUGUGCAGGUUUACAUUCGUGUAAGAGAAGGAGCUCACCACUUCAGGAUAUAUUCCUUUCAAGAUAGCAUCUGGAAAAGGCUUACUGCAAAGUUUUGACUGUUCGACUUAGACUGUUUCAGUUAUACUUCAUUCUUACCCUCAGAUUCUGCAAAACAGUACUUAUGUGACAAAAGGCCAUGCAAAGCUGUACAGGAGUGAAUUUCACCUUUGGGGAUUAAUUAUAAAGAGGUUUUGGUGAUGAACAAUUUUGAAGUGUUUCAAAAAGAUAGCUAAAUCUCUCCAGUGUGUGUUUAAAAGAAAGAAGAAAAUAAUUAAUUCAAAAUGUCAGAUUUUGUGGGAUUGUGGUAUCAAAUCAUAAGCAUCCAUGACUAUUUUAAUUUCUCUGUACUCCCAAAUUAAAAUAAAACACACAGAAAGAAGAGCUCUUUAACUUCAAACAGUUGUACUGGACCUUGCCUCCAGAGCCAGUUCUAAGUAACUGGCUCUCUGAUCCUGUGCAAAAUAGCUAGCAUAGGCAGCUAAAAUUAACUAAAUCAAAAUUAUCCCUCAUUGCUCCAGCUUCUGCCCUCAAUCAGCCUUGGAAUUUUGAUUCAACCUUUGUUCCAAAAAGUGGAAUUGCUUCUGUAACUUAAAGUACAAAUUCACAUAAAAAGUGACCUCAUGGCUGGAAAGUCAUUUUCACAGGGAAAAGAAGCCAGUACAGGUAAUGUGAAAAUAACACCUCUAACAGUUUGACAAAGUAGGAUCUUUGGGUUACCUUGGGUUAAUUUUCAAGUUUGGGAGAAUAAAGCAUCUGAAAGGUUAAAAAUGGUUCAAAAUCUAGUCUCUACAGCUUAUAUGUUGUCUAGGCAGUAUUUUCAGAAGGCUCAGGUGUUCAAAAUCUAGGCAACCAUAACAAUUCAGUCUGAAAUUCAUUCUUUCCCCUGGCUGCCUUCUGCUCCUUGAAAUCUGCCCAGCAAGGUUUACAUUUUCUUUGAUGUAUGGAGAAGUUUCUGAAAUGAGGAACCUUGAAACUACCAAUAAAAGCUGUGUUAAACUACACCCCCACCCACCAUAUUGUUAAUUUCCCCUUAACUAUUUACUUAAUCAUAGACAUCUCAAAAUAAAACUCUUCAGAUGUGGGA